GCCUGGAUGGCUCAGUGGGCUGAGCGUCUGACUUCAGCUCAGGUCAUGAUCUCGCGGUCCAUGAGUUCGAGCCCUGUGUCAGGCU
Molecule: transfer RNA, 85 nt
Filed under: Felis catus (domestic cat)
Lineage: Eukaryota; Metazoa; Chordata; Mammalia; Carnivora; Felidae
Rfam family: tRNA
About the family: Transfer RNA (tRNA) molecules are approximately 80 nucleotides in length. Their secondary structure includes four short double-helical elements and three loops (D, anti-codon, and T loops).
Source: Rfam by way of RNAcentral